CCCGCUGAACUUAAGCAUAUCAAUAAGCGGAGGAAAAGAAACCAACAGGGAUUGCCUCAGUAACGGCGAGUGAAGCGGCAAGAGCUCAAAUUUGAAAGCUGGCCCCUUCGGGGUCCGCGUUGUAAUUUGCAGAGGAUGCUUCGGGUGCAGCCCCCGUCUAAGUGCCCUGGAACGGGCCGUCAUAGAGGGUGAGAAUCCCGUCUGGGACGGGGUGUCUGCGUCCGUGUGAAGCUCCUUCGACGAGUCGAGUUGUUUGGGAAUGCAGCUCUAAAUGGGUGGUAAAUUUCAUCUAAAGCUAAAUACUGGCCGGAGACCGAUAGCGCACAAGUAGAGUGAUCGAAAGAUGAAAAGCACUUUGAAAAGAGAGUUAAACAGCACGUGAAAUUGUUGAAAGGGAAGCGUUUGCGACCAGACUCGCCCGCGGGGUUCAGCCGGCAUUCGUGCCGGUGUACUUCCCCGUGGGCGGGCCAGCGUCGGUUUGGGCGGCCGGUCAAAGGCCCUCGGAAUGUAUCACCUCUCGGGG
Molecule: ribosomal RNA, 523 nt
Filed under: Eurotiomycetes sp. NS
Lineage: Eukaryota; Fungi; Ascomycota; Eurotiomycetes
Description: eukaryotic LSU rRNA
Rfam family: Eukaryotic large subunit ribosomal RNA
Source: RNAcentral